Molecule: ribosomal RNA, 497 nt
Filed under: uncultured bacterium
Lineage: Bacteria
Description: partial 16S ribosomal RNA
Rfam family: Bacterial small subunit ribosomal RNA
Source: RNAcentral
GAUGAACGCUGGCGGCGUGCCUAAUACAUGCAAGUCGAGCGAACGGACGAGAAGCUUGCUACUCUGAUGUUGGCGGCGGACGGGUGAGUAACACGUGGAUAACCUACCUAUAAGACUGGGAUAACUUCGGGAAACCGGAGCUAAUACCGGAUACUCUUUUGAACCUCAUGGUUCAAGAGUGUAAGACGGUCUUGCUGUCACUUAUAGAUGGAUUGGCGCUGCAUUGGCUAGCUGGUAAGGUAACGGCUUACCAAGGCAACGAGGAAGAGCCGACGCGAGAGCGUGAAGCGCCACACUGGAACUGGGACACGGCCCAGAGACCGACGUCAGGCAGCGGUAGGGAAUCUACCGCAAUGGGCGGAAGCCUGACGGAGCAACGCCGCGUUAGUGAUGAAGGUCUGCGGAUCGUAAAACUCUGUUAUUAGGGAAGACCAUAUGUGUAAGUAACUGUGCACAUCUUGACGGUACCUAAUCAGAAAGCCACGGCUAACUACGUG